CUUCAGUCAAAGGGAUGACUUCAGUCCCUUUCUUAACUAAUCCUGUCACUGUAAAAUCCUACAGUCAUUCUUCCACACAUAAAGGGAAAACGGACUCACUAGGAGGACCUAGACUCUUUCAGCUUGAACUGUUAACCAAUGGUGGAAAUGCAAGAAUGCUGAAGUUGUGCCUUCAGAGCCAAUAGAGUGGAUUUGUGUGUCCCACAUGACUGUGUUUCCCCUGUCUUUCACAUGGGCAGUAUUUAGUUCAAUUCAGAACUGCAGAUAGUAUAGCGUGCAGAGCAGCAAUGGGAUGUCUGAGCACAAGUGGCUGACUUCCAGGCGACUUCAAGAAGUGCAUUUGUACAUUUCUGCUGAAUUAAAUUGGAAUUCUGCACCCUUGACAUCCUCCUACCCUCCUGGUCUCUGCGGAAGGAGACAGCAACCUGCGCAGCACAACAAAACUAGAAAUCAUCACAGAACUGCAGAAGAGCAAACGAAGUGAGCUGAGGGCAAUUCGACCGUCUUCUCUGUCAGUUCCCCAGAAGUCUAUGAAGCAUAUUACUGGGUCUCCAAGGUACUUCCCAGAGAUUAGUUGGUCAUGCUGUACAAUUAGGAAGUGAUUAAAACAAGCUGUUUCUUCAUUAUAUUAAGAUACUUGCAGCAGUGAGAGCCGUUACCCUCUACAUGUGUACCUCUCCAAACUGAGGAUAUUUAUUAGCACUUAAUAACGAUGUGUCACCUCAGCCAAGUGACGAGGCAGCACAGUGGUCUCAGGUACAAGGAAGAUGUUGUUAUGAAACUCCACCUGUUUCACCUGGGAAAAUCCAGUAAGAACAUUUGAGCUAAGAAUGCUCAAAUGUAUUUGAACACUAUGUUUAAUCUUGGGCAUUUUGUUUACUUCAAACAUACCUGUAAACCUUUAACAAAAGGUAAUCAACAAAACAUGUAGAGUCUAAAUUAAAGAGAUGGGGUUUAAAAUGUUCUUAUGAAAAGAAAAAGAAAAGAUUCAACAAGACUCCACAUAAAUGAUGUUUUCUAAUAAGGCACAUGAAAACCUCAGUUACAGAAAUCAUUAUUCUAGGUAUUACGUGCUAUUUUAUAUUCCCAGCAGGAUGCUUUUCAUCUCAUCAAGAGUUUCCAAGGCUGUUUAGUGUUUCUGUAUAUGCAAAACAAACUUAAGGGCCCCCCAAAAGAUCUGCUAAUUAAAAAAAAAUGCCUAGUAAAGUGGUCAGACAGACUGGAACUCGAGUAUUAUAGGUAAGAGGGAUGAAAUGAAGGCUUGGAAACUAUAAUUUCUAUUUCUGUGGUAGGAGCAGAAGCAGCUGUUAUAGACUGGGCAAAUUAAAGAUGUGGCUGACUAAGCCAACAGUCUGGAAACAAGACGUUGCAAAAACAUAACAGCAAGUCAUCUGCACCCCACUUUUAAAAAGCCAAAAAUGCUGACCAUUUCUUUUUCUCCCUCCCUUCCUGUUAUUCUCAUCUGUCACAAAUAUCCUCCAGCU
Molecule: long non-coding RNA, 1484 nt
Filed under: Anser brachyrhynchus (Pink-footed goose)
Lineage: Eukaryota; Metazoa; Chordata; Aves; Anseriformes; Anatidae
Description: lncRNA (ENSABRG00000012779.1)
Source: RNAcentral